Molecule: ribosomal RNA, 285 nt
Filed under: uncultured bacterium
Lineage: Bacteria
Description: partial 16S ribosomal RNA
Rfam family: Bacterial small subunit ribosomal RNA
Source: RNAcentral
GAUGAACGCUAGCGGCAGGCUUAACACAUGCAAGUCGAGGGGCGAGCGAGAGAGUAGCAAUACUUUUGUUCGGCGACCGGCGCAAGGGUGCGUAACGCGUGAGCAACAUGCCCGUAACAGGCGGAUAGACCGUGGAAACGCGGCGUAAACCGCCAUAAGUUGGGAGUAGGCAUCUAUUUCGAAUGAAAUCUUCGGAGGUUACGGAUUGGCUCGCGAGACAUUAGCCAGUUGGCGGGGUAACGGCCCACCCAAAGACUACGAUGUCUAGGGGUUCGUUGAGAGGAA